Neofelis nebulosa (Clouded leopard) is the source of this 5276-nucleotide long non-coding RNA. RefSeq lists it as uncharacterized. The record is from RefSeq and is a predicted model, not a curated record. Lineage: Eukaryota; Metazoa; Chordata; Mammalia; Carnivora; Felidae. The transcript is spliced from 6 exons.
AGCCAGGGCCAGCACUGAGGAGACACCGAGAGCCGUGGGAGGUCCCCCGCGGGCCCCAGGGGUGGGAGGACUCUGUCUGUGAGCUCGUCCCGGCCUUGACUCUGUUUCAGGAAAACCCAAGGCAACCGACACCGGGCCCCAGGCUUCUCACUUUCCCCGGAGGGAACCCACGGCUUCCAGAGCACUUCUCUGAAAACGGACAGGCACUGUGGGAAACCCGAGUUUCCAGCUCAUCGGGGAAGGCGGCGUCCCCGAUGCAGGAGACUGGAAACGGCCGAGGAAUGAAAUGUCUGCCUCGAUGUGAAAGAGCUUUGGGUUUUCCUGUCCGUGGGCGACGAGCAGGACGACCAAUCGGGAAAAUCAGCGUUUCUGGGGCGCCUCAGUCACGCGUCGGGAAACCCACAGGUGCCGCGUCUGGACUCCCGGGUGUCACAUGGUGGCAGAGGUGGGCCGGGGGCGGGGGGGGGCCCCCCCUCUCUGCCUUUCACGUGACCAUUGACCCGGAAGGUCAAUGCUGCACACUUAAAGCGCGGCGCUGGGGACGAGAGGUACCAACCCCGCAGGCCAAGGGACCCCAUCCUCUUUUCCUCCUGCUGGCACGAGGCUGUCUGCUGGGGCGUCAGUGGCAGGGAGAGGCCUCCGUUGUUGUACGAGGUACAGUAAUUAAUCACCUCUUCGAAGGCCCCCUUCAUGAAGUAAACGUCUUCCUGGUCCUUGGGAAAGAAGAAAAGGAAAACGGCUGCCGUCAUUGGGUCGGCUCCUUGGAGAACUUUGAUCCGCAGCCUCUCUGUGCAUCAGGUGCCCUGUUAAUGUCACCGAGAGCAUCCCAUACGUGUCAUCAGCCACACCCCAGCCACUGUUAGGCCUUUAUGUGACUGACUGACUGCGGGACGUCUGUUUCCACUGGGACUGUCGCCUCCCGAGGGCAGGUCCCCUUUCUGUUUUGUUCACCCCUGCACGUGGCUCAUCGAGCCCCGAACCGUUCCCCUGUGUAUUCGUUAAGCUCGGUCUCCUGCGGAUGGUAAGCUCCACGCGGAAGGCGCCGUGACAGCCCGGGUCACACUGUCCCCGGCAUUAGCAUGGCGCCUGAAAGCUCACGGCGGGCGGGGGGAUGAGGUUGUGUGAACCGAUACGGAAAGAUGCCUGAGACAUCACUGAAAGGGGAGAGAGCAGAUUACAAACCCCACACACAGCGCGACCUAAUUUUAAAACUACCACCCCCGUACGUCGCUCUGUGCAUGUUCAGGACCUCAAAGGUCCCAUCCCAGACUGUGGAGGGGGGCUGCCUUGGGUCGGGAGACACGAAGGGCAGGAUUAUACAGCACUUUCGUUUUUAAGUCACGUUUCUAGAAUUUAUUUCAGUGAGAAUAUAUUACCAGGGUCUUUGGGGAGAAAAAAAGAUGUGAAGGUGAGCGCAAGGGUGUAUCUGUGUGCACGCACGUAUGAUGCGUGAGCUUGCCGCUCACACCAUCUGGGGUGGGUGCUGGGAUGUGCCUCCUGGUCCCCCGCAGGGCUGAAGGGCUGUCCCCACCUGGUGACGAUCUGCGGCACUCAUACGUGUAAAGAACUCAGCACCAGGAUGUUAAGAAGGGACCUCCAAGUUAGCAAGAGGGUUCGCCGCUAACAGUGGGAGCCCACGUCAAAAUUCCCUGCCCGCACAGAGAAGCUGCAUUUUUAACCGAUUCCCCGGGGGAUGCUGCUGGUCUGGGAAGCCCGCCUUGAGAACCACCGUUUCAGACAAAAAUCUCGGCAGGAGACGCCGAAUGAUCAAAGGAAUCUUUAACAUCAGCUAAGCCCAUCUAGGAAAAGCAAAUGCCACGCUUCUCGUGAGUCAUCCUGAGCCAGCCUCGCUGCAAAGCUCAGGCCGCCUCCGUUAUUCAUUUGUCAAACCAUUUCUGGCAGGGGCAGGGCCAGCUGGUCCUGGCGACUGCUUCUGGCCAAAACGUGCUCAGAAACAAAAGCCCGUGGGCUCCCCUCCAGGAGGAAUGUUCCAGACUCAAAAAGUACCCGGACAGAGAGUCUAUCUGUGGGAUUAAAUCUCAUGGGGAUUGAUCAGGAAGAAAAAAAAUGCCCGAAAAGGCUCUUCGGGAAAGUCUUGUGAAUGACCCUGCAUUCCUCCAAAAGACGGGUCGACGUCCUAACCCCUCAGUGUCUGCGAACGUGGUCUUGUUUGGAAACUGGGUCUCGGGGGGUGGAACCAAGUUAAGAUGAGGUCAUUAGCGUGUGUCCAGAUCCGAUAAGACGGGUGGUCCUUGGACGAAGGGGACAGGGCCACGUGAAGACGUGUCCGUGAGCCAAGGAGCAUGUGGCACGACUGGUCACAGGUGGAGGGGAGGGGACCAGGGCGCUGCCCACACCUUCCUUUCAGACCUCCAGCUUCGGGAACCGUGACAGAGUAAAUUCCUGCUGUUUCAGGCGCCCAGGUGGUGGUCCUUUAUUUCAGCCACUCCGGGGAAACCAGCAAGGGCGUGACCGUGGAGAAAUGGUUCAGAACCACUGACCUCGACCCUGAGACAGGUUUGAGGACAGACAUGAUAAACACAGAGCUCCGAGCACCGAGCCUGCCACACGGUCACGGGAGGCACUUCAUACAUGUCAGCUGUCACCAGGCUCCCCUACUGGUUCCCACGGAAGAGUAAAUCGUGACCCGUAAAGGAGAGGGGGUUCUGGAACAUCGGUCCUCUCUGGGCUGCACGGGAGGCAGGCGGCGGGAGCAGGGGUGGAGACCCCACACCGGGGUUCUCUCCUGCUGGGACAGUCAGGCCACUGUCCCCGUCCCGGAUGGGAGCCUGCGGUUGAACAGGGCCAGCUGGGGACCUUUCGGAAGAGGCAGUAAGGUCUAGUCGGUAUGACUGUCAUCCUGGAAAGAAUUUUCUUCCCUGAGUGUCACAGUUUCUUAACAUAGCUUGUUUACAGUUAGAGGGACUUUCUGUUUUAAGUUUAUUUAUUUUGAGAGAGAGACAGACACAGAGACGGUAGGGGAGAGGCAGAGAGAGAGAGGGAGAGAGAGAAUCCCAAGCAGGCUCUGCGCUGUUGGCACAGAGCCUGAUGCGGGGCUCGAACUCGUGACCUGAGCCUAAAUUAAAAGUCGGCUGCUUAACCCACUGAGCCACUCAGGUGCCCCUACAGUUAUUUUUUUAAAUAUUUAUCUUUGAGAGAGAGAGAGGAAGACACUGCGUAAGCGGGGGAGGGACAGAGAGAGAGGGAGACACAGAAUCCGAAGCGGGCUCCAGGCUCCGAGCUGUCAGCACAGAGCCCGACGCUGGGUUCGAACUCACGGACGGUGAGAUCACGACCUGAGCCGAAGUCGGAUGCUUAACCGACUGAGCCACCCAGGCACCCCUACAGGGACUUAUUCCGAGGGUGACUCUUCUCCCCCUCCUCCACCCAACCUUGCAGCACUGUCUGCCUGAACCCGGCAGAGAUGGGUAGCUGGGUCUUGGGCUGGGGGAGGGACAGGGGAACAGACGGACGGCAAAGCCGUCCUGGGGGCCUGGAUGAGCGAGGGAAGGGAAGUAAACCUGAAGGGAGAGCCCGAGGCAGCCGUGGGAGGAAGGACAGAGGGGCCCCAGCACCAGAGGCAGCAGGAGGAAGGGGCAGAGGGGCUGAGGAGGACGCAGGGGUCAGCUGGUGCAGGACAGGCACCCCGAGGUGGGCCUGGGUCCCUCUGGGGAGGGGUGUGAUCAGACCUCCCGUUUGUGCCCAAGGUGGAGCAGGUACCUGGCCCACCCCACCGCCCACCCCUCAACAUCCAGGGCAGCGGCUCCCCGCCUAGCUCUGGGCACAGAAUGGGGGCAUUUCUGCAAAGUCACAGACUCAGGGUCUGAGCACGGAGCCCUGCGAUCCGUCAAAUGCACUAAAAGGAAGGGGUCUUCCUGCACGGGACCUCGGGGGCCACCAGAUGGGUCAUUCCUCUGUCUCGCCAGCACCUCCGUGGGGUCUGAGCCACGGGAUGCCCCAGGAUUCUUGUGGGAUGGUCGGGAAGGGUUAGAGGCCUGCAGAAUGUUCCAGAAGCACACAGCAUCUCAGAGCCCAUCUCCUCCACCAGCCGGCGACAGCCUAAGGAUGUUCGGGGCCACUCUCUCCAUUGUUACUAAGCUUCUCCACUCCUCAUUUGCUCAGACGGGCGCCCGAGUUCCGCCCCUCUUCCAGCCCCCAGCGGAAGCCCUCCCGGUGUAGACCAUCAAAGGGUCCCUACCUUCAUUGCCAGGGCGAUCAGGGCACCUUCCGUGGGCUGUCCCAUCACGGCGUUUUUUCUGAUGAUGGCGUUGUUGGCCACACAGCCUGCCUGAAAGGCGGGAUUUUGGAAGAUCUGCACUUAACUCUUGGGAGCUGGCCCCCCUCGGGGUCCUGGGCUCACUCAGGCAUGUGAAAAAGCCACACGCGGCAGGCUUGACCCAUUUGGGGGGCGAGGGCCGGGGUGGGCGUGAGGGGCAAGACGUGCUCUUUAAAAUACAUCCCAGUCCCCGCUCUUCAAAAUAAACACAGUGAACAUUUACUGACUCUGCUGAACCCUGGCUGUCACAGGCCGGAUGGUGGGGAGGCUGGGGCGAUAAGAGUGGCCCCUGAUGGGCACGGGGUUCCUGCUUGGGGUGACAGUGUCCUGAAAUUAGACGUGGCAGUGGCUGCACAACUCUGUGAAGGUGCGAAAACCACUGAACCGUAUGCUUAAUUUAAAGCAGGGAAUUCUGGGGCGCCUGGGUGGCUCAGUGGGUUGAGCGUCCGACUUCGGCUCAGGUCAUGAUCCCAUGGCUCGUGGGUUCGAGCCCCGCGUCGGGCUCUGUGCUGACGGCUCGGAAGCCGGAGCCUGCUUCGGAUUCUGUGUCUCCCUCUCUCUCCGCCCCUCCCCCACUUGUGCUCUGUCUCUCUCUGUCUCUCAAAAAUAAAUAAAUAUAAAAAAAAAAUUUUAAGGGGAGAAUUUUGGGGUACAGGCCCGUCACUCUCAAUUUAAAAAGACAACGAAAAUAAUAGAAGGAAACACACGACACGCGCGUGGGGGUGAAUCCCAGCUCCCUCCCUCCUGGGCAUGCACAUCACCUCUCUGAGCCCGUUUCUUAAUCUGCGCACUGAGAUCACAGGACGGGCCUCGGCCUCGAAGGGGUGCUGGGAUAGUUAAGUGGCACCAGUGAGGCGGGACCUUCACGGCUCACGACAAAUUCUAGAAGACAGCGGCUCAGUUCACACCUCGGAGGGCACCGGGUGUGUGGGAGGCGUGAGUCCGGCUAAUACAACUCGUGUCGACAAUCAAACAGGCUCAUCGUCCGGCGUUCAGUGAA